GUGGAUCCCGUAGAGUACUACGGAUGCGUAGGGGUGCUAAUACCUUCCCUUCGCAUAAUCGACUCCCGAACCCAAGAUUUGGUUGCGUGACCUUGUCUUUUCCUUUCCUUUUUCCAGGUUUACUUCGAGCGUUUCCUUUCCCUCCUUUGGGAUGAAUAACGCACGGUGGCGACUCUUCUGUCAUUUCUUUCUCGCCGGUUG
Molecule: long non-coding RNA, 201 nt
Filed under: Lathyrus oleraceus (garden pea)
Lineage: Eukaryota; Viridiplantae; Streptophyta; Magnoliopsida; Fabales; Fabaceae
Description: Pisum sativum (pea) long non-coding RNA (PSAT_LNC013013)
Source: RNAcentral